GGCGGUGUGCCUAAUACAUGCAAGUCGAACGAAGCUUUCUUUCACCGAAUGCUUGCAUUCACCGAAAGAAGCUUAGUGGCGAACGGGUGAGUAACACGUAGGCAACCUGCCCAAAAGAGGGGGAUAACACUUGGAAACAGGUGCUAAUACCGCAUAACCAUGAACACCGCAUGAUGUUCAUGUAAAAGACGGCUUUUGCUGUCACUUUUGGAUGGGCCUGCGGCGUAUUAACUUGUUGGUGGGGUAACGGCCUACCAAGGUGAUGAUACGUAGCCGAACUGAGAGGUUGAUCGGCCACAUUGGGACUGAGACACGGCCCAAACUCCUACGGGAGGCAGCAGUAGGGAAUCUUCCACAAUGGACGAAAGUCUGAUGGAGCAACGCCGCGUGAAUGAAGAAGGCCUUCGGGUCGUAAAAUUCUGUUGUCAGAGAAGAACGUGCGUGAGAGUAACUGUUCACGUAUUGACGGUAUCUGACCAGAAAGCCACGGCUAACUACGUGCCAGCAGCCGCGGUAAUACGUAGGUGGCGAGCGUUGUCCGGAUUUAUUGGGCGUAAAGGGAACGCAGGCGGUCUUUUAAGUCUGAUGUGAAAGCCUUCGGCUUAACCGAAGUAAUUGCAUUGGAAACUGGAAGACUUGAGUGCA
RNAcentral lists this ribosomal RNA (645 nucleotides) under Ligilactobacillus ruminis. Its description in RNAcentral is "bacterial SSU rRNA". It matches the Rfam family "Bacterial small subunit ribosomal RNA", at positions 38 to 650 of the family's 1533-position model. Lineage: Bacteria; Bacillati; Bacillota; Bacilli; Lactobacillales; Lactobacillaceae. The record is from RNAcentral.